GUCUGCUGCAGCUCUUCUGCCUCUGGAUGGACAACAGCGUUCCCUUAACCUGUUACCAGACGGGUGGGGCGUUCCCUUAACCUCUUACCAGACGGGUGCAGCGUUGCCUUAACCUGUUAAUAGACGGGAGCAGUCCUGUUGAAUCGCUAUGUCCUGAGAUUUGAUAGUGAUUUGCCAUUCCAUGCCUUAUUUAAUUUGUUUAUUUUAUUUUACUUUAUUUAUUCAUUCAUUAAAUUUUGAUCAGCACCUUCAGUUGAUUAUAGUGGUUUCCUAAUAUGGGUGGAUUCAUUUGAAUGUAAAGUCUAUGAAUCUAUAUGUUUAUCUGUGACUAAAGCACAUGCACAUUGGAAGCUCACUUGUGAACGGACUACUUGCGGAAUGAUAUGAAAUGUGUCUCACCGAAAGAAGAAAAAAAAUGACCACUUUUUCAAAAGAGUUACAAAAUAGGCUUUUCUUUACUUGGACUGAAAACAGAUCGUGACAAAAACAAUAUGUACAAUACUGUCAUUUUAGUUGCAGCCUCCUUAAAACCCCACAGUCUUGGCAUUCCACCUUUCAUCGAAAAACAAACCAAACAUAAAGUCCAGGGCUUCUGCUCCUGCCCAAACUUAAAUCAUUUCUCAUGAUAAGCAAAAAAAAAAACUAUACUAUCCAAAACUUGCAAGCAAUGGGGUUCUUCUUAAGCAAUCUGAAACCAAAGAAAGGAUGUGGGCCAGGAGGUGUGUAGGUGUGUGUGUGUGUGUGUAGGUGUGUGUGUGUGUGUGUGUGUAGGUGUAGGUGUGUGUGUGUGUGUAGGUGUGUGUGUGUGUGUGUGUAGGUGUGUGUGUGUGUGUAGGUGUAGGUGUGUGUGUGUGUGUGUGUGUGUGUGUGUAGGUGUGUGUCUGUGUGUGUGUAGGUGUGUGUGUGUGUGUGUGUGUGUGUGUGUGUGUAUUACUGCAGAGAUAAACAGAAAGGCAGGGGAGGGGCCAGGAGGUGUGUGUGUGUGUGUGUGUGUGUGUGUGUGUGUGUGUGUGUGUGUGUGUGUGUGUGUGUAUUACUGCAGAGAUAAACAGAAAGGCAGGGGGGGGCAGGGGGGAAGCUUGUUGCUUGGCUUGCAGUGGCGGUUACGUGCAGCACUCCACGACUUUAACGCCAAACAGGCCUGACCUGCUUGCUGAAGAUGCCUCUUAUC
This is a long non-coding RNA of Clupea harengus (Atlantic herring), 1171 nucleotides long. NCBI's taxonomy places the organism in Eukaryota, Metazoa, Chordata, Actinopteri, Clupeiformes, Clupeidae. The record is from Ensembl.